This 253-nucleotide ribosomal RNA is filed under the name uncultured bacterium. RNAcentral describes it as "partial 16S ribosomal RNA". It matches the Rfam family "Bacterial small subunit ribosomal RNA", at positions 524 to 776 of the family's 1533-position model. The record is from RNAcentral.
UACAGAGGGUGCGAGCGUUAAUCGGAAUUACUGGGCGUAAAGGGCGCGUAGGCGGUUAUAUGUGUGGGAUGUGAAAGCCCUGGGCUUAACCUGGGAAGUGCAUACCAAACUGUAUAACUGGAGUAUAUGAGAGGGUAGCGGAAUUUCCGGUGUAGCGGUGAAAUGCGUAGAGAUCGGAAGGAACGCCGAUGGCGAAGGCAGCUACCUGGCAUAAUACUGACGCUGAGGCGCGAAAGCGUGGGGAGCAAACAGG